This is a long non-coding RNA of Peromyscus californicus insignis, 3852 nucleotides long. RefSeq lists it as uncharacterized. The record is from RefSeq and is a predicted model, not a curated record. The transcript is spliced from 3 exons. NCBI's taxonomy places the organism in Eukaryota, Metazoa, Chordata, Mammalia, Rodentia, Cricetidae.
CACCGCACAAGGACCGAAUUAGUGGUGGGGAGCGGCUGAAGCUGUGAAUGCCGGGAGGAUGGGAGUGAACAAAGGAGAGAGAGAUCAUUUCACUUGAGAUGUGAGUGGAAUUCUGGAUGGACAGAAAGACUGCCGGGAGACGAGAAAGGGCGAGGGCAGAAGGUAACCCACGUAGAAACACAGAUUCCAUCUGACUCAUCCCUACCUUGCAGUGUGUUUUUAAAUGCACUCUUGGCUGGACUCUGCCUGGCUAAUGAAAUGGCUAAAGAGGACCUAACCCAGUUUUCUAAUCCCAACUUCUCAGAAGCUCUAGGGAAAAGGGUGAAACCUGCCUGCUCCCUGACUAUCAGCUAACUGUGAGUCUUCCCUUGUGCAGAAGUAACUUGCUCUUCAGCUGCAUCUGUCGUUUUCCUGAUCUCAGAGACAGACGUCCAACUCACCAAUGCCAAUGCCUUCCUUACACAAAGCUCCUGAGCUUCAAGGUCAACCACUGGGUUUUCCUUUUCUUUUCUCUGCCCACGCUUGAAGCAAAUGCGUACUGAGUGCAAGCUGGAACAGAUCCUGGCUAGAGGAGUGUGACCAGCAGUAGAAUAUGAAAAUAAUAAUCAUGCUGAUAUUAAUAAUUUACUGAGGCCUAUUAGCUGGGCUUAAGCACUUUCAUAUAUCAGCUCACUUCAUUCUCACAGGAGCACACCAGGAGAGUUUAAUUAAAAUCUCAAAAGCCAAAGGCUGGAGCUCAGCAGGCUGGGAGCUGAGGCUCCCAAAUAUUAAGCCUAAAAUGGGAAUUUUCUACAGAUAUUUUUGUAGUCAUCAGGGUUAGGGUUUUCUAUAGCCACGGCUACAAAUGUAAUGGCUUACAGGACACAUGGAUGCAUCUUUCCAAGUUCUCUCCUGCAGUUGUCUCCUGGCUCUGACUGCUGCCUCCCUUUUCCAGGGUAAAGACUUCUGUGAGCAUAUCAGACCCCAGGAAACCCAAGCUAGAACCCCGACGUUAUGAUCAGCAGCCUUAGCUUUCCUGUGCUCUGCAGAGCAAUACACUCAGUUUCAGCCAUAUAUUAGCACUGGUUAUUUAUCAAAACUCCCCCAAUGCUCCUGACAAGAAACACAAAAAUCUCAAAUGCUGGAAAAAAAAAAGAGUGAUAAAUAAGAGAAGAUUUAUAAUAAUAAAUAAAGAAGAAAAAAGCAUGUGGUCAGAUCAGAAGAAGGCGCUGAGAGAAGAAUUCAUAUUGGGUGAAUUAAGGUGUAUCUGAGACCCACUUCAAAUCCAGACACUGUUCAUGGCCUCCUUUAGUCCUUCACAGAGUCCUUAUAUCAGAAUUCUCCUGCCACAUCCCUAGGAAAAACCAAACCUGCCUGGGAUGGAUGGCUAUUCUUGGUUGUCAACUUGACUGUGUCUGUAAUGGACCACAACCCAGAAAUGGAGGCCACACUUGUGGUCCAGAUCUUGAGGCAGGAAGGCACACCUUUAAUCUGGGCCACACCUGCUGGAAGGACAAUGGAAGACCGAAGGGGGUGUGCUCACCCUUCACCUGAUUGCCCUCACCUUGUCAGCACACCCAUUCCUUCACUGGCCCUGGAACCUCCUUCUUCGGGACUCCAGCAUCUACAGAAGACCAGCUGAGACACUCGGCCUCAUGGGACUGUGCAACUCUAGACUCUUGGACUUUCCAUUCACAGCUAGCCAUUGUCAGACUGCAGCCUCCUCCUAUAAGGAGCAAGACCAUCCUUUUCAUCUUGCCCCUUCAACAAAACCCCUCUUGGAAUCCUGUUUUCUGUGUGAGUUGGCACAUGAGCUGGGGAAGAAAGCCAGAAGGAGGCGGGUAGGGAGUUUCAGAGACGGCAAAUCCACUGCUUGCAGCAAUGCCCACCCUGUCCUGGGUACCGCACCCUUACCAGUGAUCACCCUUGUGUGCUUAAUCAGAUUAAAGGCCCCCAAGAAAGCCCUUUCAUUCCCUGUCACACAAGGGUGAGCAAUGAAAUAACCAAUAUAGCAGUACCGCACUGGGGAUGAGAAACAAGCACUGUGGACUGUGUCCCCAGCACCUUGGUGAUCUCCCUGGUCCUGCCUGCUUGCUCCCUCAAAGGCAGCUCUGCUGUGGACGGGUGACAUUAUGGGAUAGAAUCUGCGGCAAGAACGCCCGUCUAUUAUGUAAACACAAGGGGCAUUAAGUGCAAGGCUUCAUAUAUAUCAAAAAAUAUAAUGGGGGAGAUUUGUAUAUCCCAUGAAUAUUUAAUUCUUCUGAAAGCUAACUAUCUGCAUAUCAGACUACACCAAUGCAUGUGUGUGAAUUUUUUUUCUCUGUUGUCUUUCAAAACAAAGCAGACAAUUUUUUCCCUUCCUGUGGUGCCCUGGAAGUUGCUUAACUGUGCAUUGAUCCCUUUGAUCUACCGAGUGUGUGUAUUUUAAGACAAAGUCCGCGGUGCUACUCCCAUCUGUGUGGAGGAAGCAGAACAAUGAGAGGAAACCAGGUCGCUUUCCAUUGUUUUCCUCGUGACCUGGAUCACAAUUUACUGAUGUCUUGAAUGCUGUUUAACUUUUGCUGGUGUCUUUUUAAUCAUAGCAUUCAUGUGAAUUUAAAAAGAGCUCCUUGAUAUGCAACCACUGUGUAGCAUGAUAUCCCGCCCGCCCUGUUGCACUGCAGAAGCCUGCAGCUGCCUGCAGCUGCCUGAAGCUUAAUUAUGCAUGCAUGCAUGCAAAGCCCAGAUGCUCAGCCAAGAGUGCCUCAACUACAACAGUUUCUCACUUGUUUUUGUUUGAAUUAUAAUUGGGCAGAUCUGUAUUCCUCAGCCCGGUUUGUAGCUGGAACAUGCUCCUCUUCGCCUCUGUUGCUACCUGUGUUUGACACAGCUUCUUCACCAAGGAGCCCUUUGUGGAUGCCGCCAUGUGCCUCUGAGAUCUGAGUAGGGUCAUUUACAGGCUUGAUGAAAUCUUUUACUUACGCAACAAUUUUAAAGGGUACAAAAAAUGACCUGAGCCCCAGCAGGUUUUCCUCCAGAUGGUUUGUAGCUGAAAGAAAGAAAAGGAUGGCGAACUAGAAGCUGGCAUUGGGAUAGAAACAAAGGAGGCUGAGAGCCAGGCGGCCAUGCUAGGAAGGAAACUCACACCUGCAGGAAGACUGUGCUGGGGUUGACUUGUUAGCCAUGCCCAUCUUCUACUCAGAGAACAUUUGGGGAGCUGCUUUGCAGCCACCUCAGGGACCUCAGUCUCCAGCACGAACAUGGCUCCUGUGUCAAUGAUGCUGAGUAUGUCAUGGUACUCUCCAGACCACUUUACUGACAACUGAGCAGAGCAGGAGCUUCCCACAGAGGACGCUCGCUGCUGCUUAGACUGUCUCCAAGGCUCAUCCAGAGACAUCAGCUCCGUGUUCCAACUGAGCAGCAAGCGAAAGACAAAGAUUGAGUUCACUGCAAGGGGUGGUGUUUUGUGAUCUCAUAGCGAUUUUGCACAUGUGUACAGAUAUGUGCUUGUGUGUGUGUGUGUGUGUGUGUGUGUGUGUGUGUGUGUGUACCAACUGCAGACUUACACUGAAGUUUCAAAAGUAAGCAGAAAUCUAUUGUAGGAUAAUUACCCAUGAUAAUCUUAAGAAUCAUAUAGAACCAGGAUAUAGAUAGAUAGAUAGAUAAAUGGAUAAGAUAGAUAAAUAGAUAGAUAGAUAUAGACAUAUACAUACCUAAAUACAUAUAUAAACAUAUGUUUUCUUCACCUCUGUUGCUGUUUCUGUUUGACUCAGCUUCUUUUGUCAACACUGUGUGCCUCUGAGAUCUGCAAACAGUCGUUUGUGGACUCAUCACAUCUUUUACCUACACAGCAAAUUUGAAGAUAAAAAAAAUGACCCUAGCCCCAGCAGGUCU